UCCUAUAGCCACUGUGUUUAUGAGUGGUGCAUGCAUGUGAUUGGACACACAUUGGCCCACUUUUUCUCUCUUUCUUUUAUCUUUCCUCUCAUUUUUCUUUUACUCAUACCCAUCCCAUCUCUUCAUCCAAGCAGAGGAGGCUAGCUGAAGCUUUUCCACAUAGUAGAAGGGUUCCUUCCCAGCCACGAAACAGGGCAAGCGCCAAUAUGCAAGCACUUCACAAGCCCCUUCUUGCAUCAUAUUUAAAAAUAUGCCAUUGGCCGAAGGAAAUCACAUGGUUGAGGAGGUUCAAGGCUUGUAGGAACAGACUUCAUCUCUGGAUGGGAGGAGUAGCAAAGCCACCUCGCAAAGGAGAAGGCACAUAGGGAGAGGAGGAAUUAUUGUGGCCAUCUUUCAUCUUUACAACCUACCUCGUGCCUUGCCAUCCGGGGCCGCUGGAGAGAUCUGCCCCAUGUCUUCCUCAUUCCAGGACCCAGGCUGAAUUGUGACUCCACCUUAUUGCUGCUAAGAUUGUUGAAGCAGGAAGAAAAGAAUGUGGUGAAUUAUGUGUGACCUCCUAAAGCCUCCAUCAAAGAGAGAAACAUCACUUCUUGUUUCAUUGCAUUGGCCAAAGCAAAUCAUGGCCACGUCCAGUGUCAGGAAGGUGGGGAAGUAGGAUUCUACCAUGUGCUUGGAAAGAGAACCACAAACAUUUGGAGAAUGGCACUAACGACUACCACCAGCACCAUUUAUGGAGUGCUGACUAGAUGCUGGGCAAUUUAAAAAUGAUCUCAGAAUGUUCUCAUGGCAUCUUUAUGGGGUAGGGAUUAUUAUCUCUGUUUUGCAGCUAACGAAGCAGAGCCGUUGAGGAACUCGCCCAAGGUUAUGUACCCAAUAGGAGACAGAGCUAGGACUGGGACCCAGUUAGUUUGACUCCAGAGGUGAUGUCCUUUUUAGAGCCUCAUGUUUGUCCCCUACCUCCUCAGAGAGAGCACAGAGGGCAUGCUUCACAGAUGACUCGGGCUUCCUGCAAGGAGGUGAUGAAGUGACUUUUACAUCAUUUGUUUACUCAGUCAUUCAUUCAUUUGGUUCACGGUUAUUUAAAUGCCACCAUGGCCAAGAGAAGCAGGGAAUAAGACAGACUUGGUCCCUGUCCUGAUGGCUUAAGACUGGGAACGCUCAUCUCCAAUCCCAGAGGUCAAGGAUUUCCUAAAGGUUCAGCUUUAGAAAGUGGGGAGUUUCCAAGGUUGAGGUGGUUCACAGGUUCCCUACUCUAACAGGGGUUCCCCGCAGAUCAGAGGAACUGUGGAACAUUGCCCCAGCAACAGGGCUUCUCAGAAAGCCUGGGAGCUGGCAGUCCCCCUGGUGUGUUUUGUAGGAGCUACAUAAAUGCUCAGUGAUGAGCAGUUAAUGAGCAAUGCAUCCCACAUGCUGGACAGAACCUCUCCUGGCAUUUCUGAAUUCAGAGAAAUUGCUGGGCUCACGCAUGAAGCAGAGGGUUCCAGGAGCCCACACAGGUAAGCUUCCUGGGCAUCUUAAAGCUUGGGAGCGAGGUCACAGUCUUGCUAAGUCACCUGUGACCCUGACAGUCCCCACAUACACCACCCCAGAUGUACAGUGAGACCCUUUGGGAUCAUGUGGCCCAGCCUUUUCCUUCUUCCCCCACCAUUCUUCAGAGCCCAAAGCUCGUUUAUUGCAUGUCUGUUACACAGCCCUCCAGCUCCCCUGGAACCCUUCCAGGGAUGAGGAGCUCACUACCUCCAGAAUCCGUCUGUUCUAAAGUCCUUUCUGAUUGCUUGGCUACUUUGCCCAAGAGCCCACACAACCCACCAGCCACGUGGAGCCAGCACAUGCCAAGACGCCAUGCAUCCUGGGUGCAAUGACACCCUCAUGGCGAUUGGGCUGCAGGAUGGGGAGGGGGUGUUAUGUGAACACGCAAAGCUCCAGGCAGACGGGCCUGGCUCUGCCGGGCUGUCAGAGAUGCUGAAGCCUCAACUCUCUCUGGCUCCCAACAAGUACAACUAUUUAUAAAAGAUGAGGUUUGCCAGGGAACAGGGAGAGGCUGAGACAUCUGCUCCCUCUGCUGGGUUGGCCAGUACUCACCAUAGGUCUCCUGGCCUCAACUCCCUGAUUGGAAGAGCCUCCAAAAGCCCUAGCCCCAUAGCCCCAGUGAGCCUCACCAGCAACAAAUCUUUCUGCCCUGUCCCCAACCUAAAUGGACAUCUCAGGGAUGGGGUGGGCAGGAUGUUCUCAGAAUGGCAGCCCCCUAGCCCUACUCCCAUCUCAAUCCAGCUCUGAGGAGGAGAGGGCAGCUCCUCUCAGAGGGGACGAAGCUGUGCUGCCCUCUGAGCAUGCACUGGAAUCUGUUUGUCUCGUAGAGAGCUGGCCCCUGGCCACCUAGACUUACCUCCCCUCCAAGACUGGAGUGUCUUGUGGGCAGGGACCAUGAAUGGUUUUCAGAGUUCAGGUGGAGCAGGUUCUUGAAGCAGCCAGUGCAGCACAAUGGGUAUGGAGCUGGUUUGGGAGCGUUUGGGAGCAGGCACAGAGACCUAAGUUCAAAUCCUGAUGCUGUGAUCCUCUCUGAGCCUCAACUUUCUCAUUUCUUGAUUGGGGAUGAAAGGAAUCUCUGCCUUUCAGGGUUGUGAUAAUAUUUCAUGGUAGUUGUUUUUAUACCUUCACUGUUUAAUGAAUGAGUUCUGGACUGUGUAGUGAAAUGGAUGGAGCGCUAAUUACAAGGCAGAAGACCUGAGUUCUGCCACUGCCAGUACAAAGUGCUGUGAUCUUAGGAACUAGAUUCCUCCUCUCUAAGCCUCAGUUUCAUCAUCUGCAAGAUGGGUGUAAAAAUGGCAAUGACAUCUGCCCUGCCCCACCCCCACCCCCAGAUGUGUCGUGAGCCAGGAUAGGGGAAUGAAUGUAGGGGAAGGACAAACUAUGUUGAGUGUUGCUUCUAGUGACAGCCAUGCCGUGGGUGACCAAGCGGUGGGAGACUGGAGGGAGUCAAAAUAAACAGACCUCAAAAAACAAAUAUCUCCAUGAUUCAUUCAGUGUUCCCUUAACAAUGGGGGACUGUCUUUGGAGCAAACAGUGCCACCCAUAUUAAUGCAUUUUCUUAUCUGUAAAAUGGGAAUAAAAUAUCCUUCAGGAGACACUAAGAGGAUAACAAAUUUCCUGAGCACCUUGGAGACUGAGAGGAAGGCUGUGGGCCUGCAGCAGAUGAUGGGGGAGAUGAUUCUCCGGGAAUAAAUGAAUGGUGGGGGUGCAAUGAUAGUAACUGGUUAUGAACACCAACUGCAUGCCCUGCUGGGGCACUGACUAUGUUCUUUCUAAUACAAAGAGCCACCAAUGAGGAUUUUAACGCCUUUAUUUUGUAGAUGGAGAAACUGAGGCACAGGGUGUUAUAUAAAGUCACAGGUUUGACAGAUGGUCGAGCCAGGGAUGAAACUCCAUCUCCCUGGCACUAGGGCCUGGCUUCUGAGGUCACAUCAUGCUUCACCCACGGAGAAUUUCCAGGACCCCUCUAAUGAAGGUCAUCAGGGAGGGUCCAAAAGAGAUUGGGCCAUUGUCUGUAGGAUCAGAGGACUGGGACAGGCCAACAGUUUCCCAGGCUGAGGCUGCUCAAGCCCCUUUGGGCAAACCCAGAGAGAUCUUCUUUAGAGGCAGCGAGGCCCAGGGUGUGGCUGGUAGGGCUCAUGCGGUGUAAUGGGUUGAAUUGUGUCUCCCAAAAGGUACAUCCAAGGCCUGGGCCCCAGAACCUGUGAGUGAGACCCUAUUUGGAAGUGGAGUCUUUGCAGAUGUGAGUGAGUUAAGGGUCUUGAGAUAAGAGUAUCCAGAUGGGUGCCCUUAUAAGAGAAAGAAGAGGGAGAUUUCAGACAGGCCCAGAGGAAAAGGGCACGUGGAGACGGGGCAGAGACUGGGGUGAUGAAAGGCAGAGACUAGGGUGCCACAAGCAAAGGAACACCAAAGGCCACUAGGAGCUGCAGGAGGCCAGGAAGGACUCUCGCCUCGAGGCUCCAGAGGCAGUGCAGUCCUACCGACACUUUGAUUUUGGACUUUUGGUCUCCAGAACUGUGGGAGAUUACACUUCUGUUGUUUUAAGCCCAUUCAGUUUUUGGUGAUUUGUUAUGGAGGCCCUGGUGGUGAGAUGAGAUGCCUGGCCGGGCCCCUAAAUGUUAUAGUGGGCCUCUUAUUGAUUACACUGAUUCUUUCUGGAUGACCUUUGCUUUAGGUCUCCCACUAGGGAAGGUGAAUUACCAAUAUCUUCUAUUCCAUUUCCAGGUGCACCAACUCUCUUUGACUUUGGACAUACAAAUUUUCUUUUCCUUUAGGGACCUACUUUUCCCCCUGGUAAAUGGGAGGGUUGCUCCCUUAUGCAGGAGCUAGAGUAGAAAGGGGUGUAGGGGAGUGAGAGGGGGUCCCUCCAAGCAUCUUGAUCCCUUUGCAGUUCCUGGGAUUGGGCUGAGGUGGAAUAUUCUUGGCAGGAAAAGCUGGCUCCUGAGAUUUCAGGAAAAUAAGAGCUUUUCUGGGAGAAAAGAAGGGUGUGAUGUGCUUUAAUGCCUAAAAAGGUUUUGCUAAGGAGCAGAUUGUUUCAGGGAGGAUGGAAAGAGAAGAGAUGCUUCUGGAGGGGAUGGGUGGGACCCUGAUAGUGUCAUGGAGUACUGGAUGGGGCAGCGCUCUAGCCAGAAUCUGGUGUUGAGAGAUCCUGGCUGAUGGGGAAUUCCUCGUCCCUAUCCCUGAAGAGUGAGCUUGGGCUCCACCUCUUGGGAUGCUUUACACCAAAUCCUACUUGGAGACAGGACGAGAGACUGUGUACUGCUCCCAGUCUCCAUAUGAAUCAUGAAUUAGGGUGUGUGUCCAUUUGAGUUGGACCUUGAAGGAUGUGGCAGGGAUUUUUCUAUAAAAGGUAUCCUGGAGAAUUGAAGCCCCCAUCCUGGGUAAAGUUGAGAAUUGUGUGGCCUCCCAGUGGGAGGUAAGAUUAGAGGGGCAGGAGAUAUGGAUGGAAGGAGAACUCACAUUUUCUGCAGGCUACUGAGAUGCUAGGCACUGCUCUGGCCUUCAUAGGUUUCUUUUCAUUGUAUCCUCAGCACAAUCUUACAAGGUAGGGAUUACAAUGUCCACUUUAGGUUCAAAAAAGUUGAGUAAAUUUCCCAGAAGCAUAGAGUAUGUUGGGGGAGCUGCCUGACCUCUAUGGAGCCAACUUUUGGAGGAUCUUAAUAGCCUUAAGAAAUGUUUAAACUGGAGGACAUAGGUAAUAGGGAGCUAUGGCAGGUGUUUGAGCAGGAGCAUGGCACAAUAAAAAGGAUGCCACCAGAGACCUGGCAGCUGAGGGGGAGACUAAUAGUAAAAUAGUAAUACAAAAUAAUAACCAUGAUAAUAAGAAUGAAAGACUCAGGAGUACCUUGGCUGACUUAGCAUUCUUUCUAACACAGGGCACCUGGAGGUGAGGCUGGAAUGAAGGCAUGCCCAGGAUGGAGAGAGGCCUGGAGGCAAGGGCGGGUGGAUCAGAGGAGGGAGAGGGUACGAGGGAGCAGGGAGAGAGGGGGCUGAUGGGAUCUGGUGGCUCGGGUGGAGAGAAGACAGGAAGAUGGGGCUUUGGGCGGGACUUUGGGCUUUUCUCCUGACACCCAGCCAGGGCCAGAAAGGCAGCUGUGUCAGGGCCAGAGUCAGGUGUGGCUUGACCACUAGCCAGCUGUGCGAUCUUGGGUGAAUCACUUCACUUCUCUGAGCCUCCGUCUGCUCAUCUUUCAUAUCUAGAGAAUAUAUUCUUCCCACCUCAAUCCCUGCCGACAAGAAUUUGAUUGUGUUCCAUUUUCCCUCCUGCUGGCCCAGAGCUACUACUCUGAGGGCAAUGGCCAACCAGGGAAGAAACUUCCGUCUCUCUAACUCCUUUCUGCGACGGGAAUGGGGAGAGCUUUCCUUUGAAAGGGUCAUUUGAAGUUGCCAUGUGAACGAAGGCAAGGAUGCAACAGCUGGAAAAGGGCAAAGAAAGGCAUUCCUGGAAGGGAGCACAGCCCGGGAACGGCAUGGAGGCAAGCCUGUGCCUCGCUCCUGAGAACUUCAUUGCUGUCUGGUUAAUGUUGGGGCUCCCUGGUUGGUUACUGGACAAUCUCCAAGCACUGCCUGCACUCCAGUACCUACAGGACACUUGCAGGUGGGGUCUGAACCCAUUUCUCAGUUGAGACAAGUUGAGGCAGGGAGAAUAUUGCUGCUAAGCAGGGUGAAAGAGCAGGGAGCAGAGGCCUUGUCAGUGCUGCUGGCAGUAACGAAGCUGUCAGGGAGCAGGCUGCGGGGGGAGGGUUUCACUGCAGUCACAUUAUUUUUGCUCCCAAAUUGAAAUUAAAGAUCAUUUCAACUCCAGCUGCUGGAAGUGCCUGGGUUCAUUACUUCUUGGGAUUUUGUCCACGUUCUCGUUCUAGAUUCAAUUAAAGCAAUUUAAAGUAAUUAAUUAAAUUUGUUAUUUGAUUAAUAAAGAUAGAAAUUUGGCUAAGUUGCUGUGAAGGAGGAAGCCACUUUGGAAUUUGCUAGCAGAGGACUUGGAAAGACUCACUUCUGCCUCCUCUUUGGACUCCUCCUCCCGCUAUUUACCCACUGUAUCCCCUACCCUUUCAACUAGGGCUCAGGAAUCAGAGCUUCAAGGUCAGGGUUUGAAGUGUGUGGAUGUGGAAGGCUGGGUGCUAGAGCAGUGCGAUCCGCAGCUGGAAAGACAGGAGAUGAAUAAGGAGUGGUAACAGCAUUGCUCCUCUGGAGGGGCAGGGUCCUGAGUAGGGGCCAGAGGGCUUUGGGCAGGCUAGGAACACAGUGUACAUGCACGGAAGCUGGGGGGCUGGAGAAGUGGUGAGAUGCCAAAAAUCAAACUGCAGGGGCCGGGGAUGGGGGAAACAGCAGUGACAAGGGGAGUGGGGUGUCUGGCCAAGGCCAAGAAGAAACUGUCCGGGAGAAACUGGGUAGAGGUAGCAGGUGCCGACAAUGGCAGUGGGUCAAACCAGAAUGGGAAGGUCAAGCUAGACACCAGCAUGGAAACUCAGUUUGGGUCAAGGUUUAAAACUCAGAGGGUUUCUAAGUGUGACACACACCCCAGACACUCCAGAAAAUUUACAUCAGUAAACAUGAUGACAUUUGAAAAAUCUGCAUAUAAAUAAACACCAUAAACAGAAUCAAAAGAUAAAUGAAGUACUGAGAAAAAGACUUAAAGCUCAUAUCACAGACAAAAGCUAGAUUCCUUCAUAUGUAAAGAGUGCUUCCAAAUAAAUAAGAAAAAGAAAAACAACCUAGAAGAAAGGUCAGGAAAUGGGCAGUUUGUAGGAAAGGAACUACAAAUACCCCUUAAGCAUGUGCAAAGUUGCUCAUUCUCUUCCAUAAUGAGAGAAAUGAAAAUGAAGAGUAGCCAAUCAUUUCAUUGUUAUCCAUCAGACUGAGCAAGUUCCAAAUACACACUGGCUUGAAAUUGGUGUGGAAAAUAGCAAUCUCACAUAAUGCUGUUACUACCUCUAUGGAGGCCAGACUGACAUUAUCUAUCAAAAUUAUAAAUUAAUGUAUUAUUUGACCUAGAGAUUCAGCUUCUUGGGUUUAUCCUGCAGAUAACAUGAUGGUUUAUUGAGAUAUUGUUUGUAAUAGUUUGAUAGGGAAACAACAGAAGAGCCCAGGCAUAGGCAAUUGGCAAAGAAAUGAUGGUAUGGCCAGGUGUGGUGGCUCAUGCCUAUAAUCCCAACACUUUGGGAGGUUGAGGUGGGCAGAUCAUCUGAGGUCAGGGUUUGAGACCAGCCUGGCCAACAUGGUGAAACCCCAUCUAAAAAUACAAAAAUUAGCUGGGCGUGGUGGUAUGUGCCUGUAAUCCCAGCUACUUGGGAGGCUGAGGCAGGAGACUUGCUUGAACCCAGGAGGCGGAGGUUUCAGUGAGCCAAAAUCAUGCCACUGUACUCCAGCCUGGGCAACAGUGUGAGAUACCAUCUCAAAAAAAAAAAAAAAAAGUUAAAGAAAAGAAAAGAAAUGAUGGUGUGCUUAGGCAAUGGAAUAUUAUACAGCCGCUAAAAGAAAGAAGCUCUCCGUGUCCUGGGGAGGACUGCUGAGACAGGCUCUUGGGUAGAGAAAGAGCAAGGUGCAGAACAAUGAGCAUGAUAGAAAAGCCUAUGUAAAUAUGUGUGCAUGUUUUCCUAUAAAAGUGUAGAGAAUUCUUAGAUUGCUAGAUUGCUAGGGUCUGGGAGCAAUGGUUGCCUCUAAGGAGGGGAAUUCAAUGACUGGGAAAGGGGGACUUACUCUUCCCUGUAUAUAUCUUUCUGUCUUUUGAGUUUUGUACCAAGUGUUUCCUAUUCAAAAGAAUAAAUAAAAUUACAAUGAAAGAACACACCCCAGGCAGGCACCAACAUGUAACGAUGUGACAAAGCCAGGGUCAGAGGUACAGGGAGAGGUCAAGACCAAUACGAUCUUCAGGCCCAAGGGAAGUAGGGAGGAGGCUCACCGAGCCUGUCCCUGGGAAGAGGUGAGGACCAGAUCCUUUUGGAAGCCUCCUCAGGCAAGGUGUCUAUGCCUGCUGUCUUGUUUCAUCCUCAAGCAGCUCUGGGAGGAAGGUACACUCAUUCCUGCUUUACAAAGGAGGAAACUGAGGCUCAAGGUGGGGCUCAGAAAUGGGGCUGGAGUGCCUCAUCAUUAUCUCAGCUGCUCUCGCCUGCUGGCCUGGAGGAUGAGGCUGGGACUGAGUCUGGGCUUGGCCUGUCUCCACUGGGCUUGGCUGGCCACUCUGCCCAUUGGCAGCUUGAAGCAUGGGUGCUGAGCUGGACAUCUGGUGGGCUGGCUAGAGCUGGAAGACCCUGGGAAAGAUGAAGAGAGUGAGGAGCUUGGCUCUUAAUCUGGAGAGUUUGGAGCGAGGGUGGCAGACACCUCAGGGAGGGUGAUAUCCGAGGAUAGUUCCAAAGAGGGGCUCUGAGCCGGACUGACCCCUUGACUCUCCUCCACUGGCGAGCAGAUGGCUGAGUGGGCCUUGGAAAGACGGGGCACUGUGACUGAAGUCAAAAUACAUGCAACACCCCUCAAGGUGCAAGGGGAAAACACACUUUCCAGCACGCUGAGUUAAAAGGGCCUUGCAACAACCUGUGAGAUGUGUGCUGACUGCCCACAUUUGCCAGAUGAGAAGCUGAGGAUUGGAGAUGUCCAGGAACCUGUCCAGCAUGACACAGUCCUGAGCCUCUUUCUCAAUCUGUUCUCACCGAGCCUUGGGUUUUACCAUCUGUUUUUGGGUUUCCAAACUCACCUCAUCUUGGGUUAAUGUUCCUGCUACUCUGACGCCUACCUAAGUGGUUGAUGCUCCUUCCUGGUUCUUCUAGGCAUCCUGGGAAGUGGCCACUCACCUCCAAAGGACAAGGCGCUGUGUCUGGGAAAAGCCAGAGCCCAUCAGCAUUGAUCAGCGAGAUGCAAGAGUCAGAGCUUUAUCCAGGGAUAAUUGAUAUGCCAGUAAACAGCACACAGUUCAUGUACACCAUCUGAUGAGUUUAGACAUAGGCAGACACGCCAGAAAUCACCACGAUCAAGGUAACACACGUAUCUGUCACGUCCAGAUGUACCCUUGUGCCCCUUGCUUUCGGUUUGUUUUUGUGGUGAGAGCACUUCACGUGAGGUCUACCUUCUGAACCCAUUUUUGGCACCCUACGGUGCCAUUUACUCCAGGCACUAGAGCACAGAUCUUUAGGACUGGGUCAUCUUGCGCCACUGACACUCAAGUUACAUGUUGAAUAACUCCCUGUUUGUUCCUCUCCCAGCUCCUGGCCACCAUCAUUCUACUGCCUCCAUGAGUCUAACUACUCCAGACCCUUCACACAAGUGGAACCUGCAGUAUUUGUCCUUCUGGGACUGGCUGAUUUCACUAAACAUAAUGUUCCCUGGGCUCACCCAUGUUGUUGUAUGUGGCAGGAUUCCCUCCUUUUUUAGGGCUGAAUAAUAUUCUGUUGUUAUAUGUAUAUAUAUCACAUUAUCUUUUCUUUUUUUUUUGAGAUGGAGUCUCACCCUGUUGCCUAGGCUGGAGUGCAGUGGCGUGAUCUCGGCUCACUGCAACCUCUGCCUCCCAGGUUCAAGUGAUUCUCCUGCCUCAGCCUCCCGAGUAGCUGGGAUUACGGGUUCCUGACACCAAGCCUGGCUAAUUUUUGUAUUUUUAGAGAGACGGGGUUUCACCACGUUGGCUAGGCUGCUCUCGAACUCCUGACCUCAAGUGAUCCAUCCUCCUCGGCCUCCAAAAGUGCUGGGAUUUACAGGCAUGAGCCACCCACACUUGGCACCAUCACUCUAUCUUAUCUUUAUCCAUUUCUCUGUCAUCAGGCAUUGAGGCUGUUUCAGUAUCUUGUCUACCGUGGAGAGCGCUGCUGUGCAUAUAGGAUGCAGGUAUCUUAGAGAUCCUGGUUUCAGUUCUUCUGGAUAUAUACCCAAAUAAGGGAUUAUGGGAUCAUAUGGUAGUUCUACUUUUAUGAUUUGAAGAACCUCCAUACUGCUUUCCAUAGCAGCUGCCACCCCCAUUUAUAGAUGGACAAAUUGGGGCCAGAAGUCCAAGCACUUUGACUUAGGCUACAAGGCCUAUAAGGGCUAAAGUCGAGAUGGGCCCCAGCCCUGAAGCAAAAUCCUCCCCAGGCAUCCCUGGCACUGCCUCUGAGGGAUUCAUGCUUGCCACUUGAGGGGCUUGGUCCAGCCAGGCAGCCAUGCAGGCAGACAGGGAAAGAUUCACCAGGAUGCAGAACUUCUUGGUUCCCUGGACAGAGCCCAGGACUCAUGGGCCCCAUGGCCUGGUGUGGGGAAGAAGGGGAGGUGGUCCACCCCAUGUCCUGCCCCAGCCCAAGAGAGUGAAAGGCCUUCAUCCAAGGGCUGCCUAUGUGUGUCCGGUGACACCUGGAACCAUCCUGUUAACCCCUCCUGUUAACCCCUCCAUUCUUCCCAUGCUCUUGUGGACAACUCAGGCCUCUAACUCUCAGGAGGCAGGACCACUAUCUUGCACAACUGCCAGGGGCAUAAUUCCUAUCCUGUGGAAUGUGAGUCAGACAAUGUGCGCAGGGCCGGAGAGGGGAAGGGACCUGGGUGAUGCCACAUCGUAGUGAGGAAGCCACCCCCAUGGAAUUUUCUCACCAUGGGUCCUCAGGCCCAUUUUGGAGGCAGCAGGGUUGUUCCUCUUGAGAAGGGAGCCUGGAGCUGGGGGCUUAGUGAGUAAUUCAGAGAGGAAGGGGCUUGGGAGCCACCCUAGAAGGAGGCGUGGGCAGCCCCGAGGUCUUUUGUGGGGAUGGCUAAGUGAGCAGAAUUACCAAGACCAACGUGGGGGGAGAGGAAGGCUGUGUGGUCUGUUGUGCAAAGAGUGGGAGGUGAAGGCAUCCGGCCAGCCCUCAAGAAGAUGUCUCCGGGGCCUGGGAGGCCUUUUGAUUCCUAUGCCCUCUUUUUCCCUUCUAUGGCAGGGCUGCUCCUGCCAGCCAGUGAAAGUCACUGUGUCCAGGGUCACCAUCUUGGGAAGGCUCUGGGACCUCCUGCAGCACAUUCCUGGCUGAUGGUGCUGAUUUGGCCCCAAAUCCCUUUAGAGACCACCCAAGGCCCACCACACCACAGUUGAUUUUUUAAUAAGGGAGCUUCCGCGUGGAGGCAGCUUGGGCGGGCAGCCAGCGCCGCCUCCACAAGUUCAAGGCCACCCUCCUGCUCACAUUUAAUGGUUUCUUCUCAUUUAAUUUUUAACUGAUAAAAGCUGUCUUUGGAGCCCGAGCUUUUUUUCUGGUAGCUCUGGGGUAAAGGAAGAGGGAGGAAGAAUUCGUCCGCCUGGGGUGAAGGAAGCCUGGUUUGACACUCGGCCUAGCUUUCCUGCCUCCCUUGGGAAUCUGUCCACAUUCUGGCUCUGCUGGGGUUCAAGGCAGGGCCAGUUACGAUGUGGCGGCUUUUCAGUUCAAACCCAUGGUGAGCUGGCAUAGAGAAUAUUUGGUUAACAGGUCAGAAUUUGGAGCCAGGCUGCAUAGGUUCUAAUCCUGGCUUGGCUACCAACUCUGGGUGAUCUUGGGAAAGUUAGUUACCCUUUCUGUGUCUUGCUUUCUUCAUCUAUAAAGUAAGAAUACAGAUAUGCUCCUCAGGGGGCUCUUUUGAGUCUUUUCCUUGAACUGGGCUGGAUGACCAGGCCCAGUGUGGUGCCACUGCCUGCCUGCCAUGGGCCCCAUACACCCAGAGCAGCACUGGCCGCUUCCUCGGGACUCCUACUGCUGGCUGGAAUGUCCUGCUGUUUGGUGUCACUUAAACAUGAUCCUGGUCACCACAGGAGCCUCUCGCUAGCAUCUAAGCCACACCUUCCUGAUUCUGCAUGGCUCUGGCCUCCUGCUACCCCCUGUCUUAUCAGCAAUCACAUCCCUGCUCCACCUAUGUCACCCAAACCACCAUAACACAGCAGCUUUCAUCCCUGGGGUCCCCUGCAGUGCAGGCAUUAGACUGUUGGACCUAUAAGAGCUCAUCUCGUCCUCCAAAUAUCCCUCCAAAACUGGAUUAUCACUCUAUUUGCAAAGGAGUCAGCAUGGGUCAUUUGCUCAAGGUCACACAGCCCAUAGAGAGUGUGGAGGAAUUCGAACCUGUAUCUGCCUGCAGAUGGGCAGGGUUCUGACAUGUGGGAACAGGGGUGGCAGCCUCUUGGGUCAGAGACACAGCAAGGCGGUAGAGGGACCAGUGUGGCACCCGUUUCCCCAGGGAUAACUGGGGAAAGGGAGAAAAUGAGGAGGAGGUUUGGGCUCACUGGAGGGUGCUUCUUUCUUAGCAUCAUUGCCAGCUUGAAAUGGUCACAGACCCUUACUGGAAAAAGGCAAGGUGAAGGAUGGAGCCUGGGUGAGGAAGCCCAGAUUGGGGGGUUAAAAAGAAAAUCCUGCCGGGCACAGUGGCUCAUGCCUGUAAUCCCAGCAUUUUGGGAGGCCAAGGCAGGUGGAUCAUCUGAGGUCAGGAGUUCGAGACCAGCCUGGCCAACAUGGUGAAACCCUGUCUCUACUGAAAACACAAAAAGUAGCCGGGUUGGUGGUGUGUACCUGUAAUCUCAACUACUCGGGAGGCUGAGGCAGGGGAAUCAUUUGAACCCGGGAGGUGGAGGUUGCACUGAGCUGAGAUCACGCUACUGCACUCCAGCCUGGGUAGAAUCCAGCCAUUUUGGUGGGUGGGCCUUAUCUGGGCCCCAACCUCAAUAUAUAGUUACUAAUCGUGUGAGAAGAAGAAAAGAACAUUGACUUAGUAGUCAAGACUGCCUUGGCUUAAAGCCCUUGACCACAGUUUUCGAUGUGACCUCAAGUUAGCAGCGUAACCUCUCUGUGGCUGUUUCCUCAUCUGUAAAAUGGAACCAUAACACCUACCUUGCAGGACUGGAUGGGGUAUUGGAUGGAAGCCAAACUCUGCAAGUCACAGGGCUCUUCCCUGAUAGCUGUCCUACUCCUGUGUAUUUGAGCAGAGCUAUGCCCCUGUCUGCACCUCCAUUUCCGGGUCUGUGAAAAGGACGAGGUGGGAGAAGCUGAUUCUAGCAGCCCCUCCAGCCUGACCAGCCAUGAUAGAUGACUUCAGGGAGGCUGGGCCAGACCUCCUCGGAAGCCACAGGAAUGUGAACAAGGGGCCAGUUGGGGGCAAAAGAGUUUCCUGCAGCAGCGUGUUUCUGCUUCCGCCUGCUAGCAGAGCAGAGACAGCAAUUUGUCCUGAGCUCGAGGAGACACAAAACUGGAACAGAAAGAAGGCGCUCUGGGGAAGAGGAAUUGGCCAUGGGGAAAUCACGUUCACCUGCAGGCUGGGAAGGAAGCUGAGGCAGGAGGCGGGAAGGCCUGGCUGCCCCUCCCUAUGUGACGCCUGCAGCCUGGGAUGACUGCAAUGUAGGAAGAGGCGGGAAUGGCGUCGGCUGCUCUGGAGCCCCACACCUAGUUAGGGACAUGUGACAGAUUACCAGGGACAUCUCAGCUUGAAGCAUAAAUCAGGGCACAGCCCAUGUUUUCCUGCUUUCAAAUCCAGGGAGCUGGAGAGGGACCUCUAGGAGCAAUUGACUCUGGCCAUGAGCCAUGGGCUGUGUGGCCCUGCCUGCGCUGAUGGUGCCUAUCUACCCCUCAGAUGCUGCGUGACCUCAUCCUGCUCCCUUGAUCUCAGUGAGCCUCAGUUUCUGCUUCUGUGAAAGGGGAGAAUGACAGUACCUACUCCACAGGGAUGUUGGGAGGAUUAGAUGCACGUGACAUGUAGAGAAGGGUGGCUGGCACUUGGCAAGGGCUUCAUAAAUGUGAGCUAAAUGGUCUCACCUGUUCCUCACCACACCUGUGAAGUGGCAGUUGCUGUUCUCUUGAUGAGAUGAGAAAAGUGAGGCUACAGAUGGGAGUGAUUACCCGAGGACCUGUAGCUUGUUCAGUAGAAGAGCAGAAGUGGAAGCCAGGGUGGGCGGAUUCUCAGGUCUGCCUCCUCCAUCCUUACUCCUAGGACUGUUCUGUGAGGCUCUGAGUGGGGGUGGGAAGGGAGAGGGCCCCCAUUCCAAUUACUUUCAGUGCAGUUGAAAGAAGCUCCAGGUCCUGGCUUCUGUGGGGCUGUGGUAGGUUUAGGACAUCUGCUCCAUCCCCCUUUUUCCUUUUUAAAAUAACUUUUCCCCUUCUCGAGCCCCAUCAUGUGCCAACCAUGCUGGGCAUGCCACCCACAGUAUUUCAGGCCUUGUGGGCUAGGUGCUCUUUCCCCCACUUCACAAUUAUGGAGAAACAGAGACGUUAAUGCCUUACCCUACGCCAUACAGCUGCUCAGAGCUAACAAAGCUGGGACUCAAGACCCUGCAGCUCUGCUCUCUGCACAGCUGUAGCACUGAAGUCUGAUGCCCACAACCAGCACUGCACCCUCUUUGUGCUUCCGUUUUCCAUCUGUAAAAUGAGAGUGGUAAAGGAGUGUUUAUGUAUCUUCUAGGAUUUUGUGAAGAUUGACUUGGUACAUGUACAUAUAUACCCACAUUAACUUGGUAAGUGCACAUAUAUACCCACAAAACAUUUGGAAGAGUGUCUGAUUUAGAGUAAGUUCUCUACAUGUUGAAAUUAGCUGUUUUCAGCUCACCUGAUUAGCAUGGGUCAUAAGAUCAAUGACAUUGGGUUUCCUGAGUCCGUUGCCUUGUGAUUCCUAAGUCACGACUUGGAGGCUUGCCUACUUAGUGUAUAUUCAGAAAAUACUGCUGGGGCAUUGGUUGGACUCAGGCACUUAACAAUAGCUCAUUUAAUCCUCACGAUCACCCUCUGAGAUAGGCAGGGACUAUUCUCAUCAUUCCCAAUUUACAGAUGAGCAAACUGAGGCAUAGAGAGGUGCAGAAACUUGCCCAAACAGACUUUGAAGCGGGGUGGGUGGCUUGGCUUCAAAGCCACCUUGCUUCACCAGCUGCCUCUCCUCUCCAGAAUGUGAGAGCCUGAGUGGAAGAGGUGCUGCUUUCCUGUAUGGGCUUGAAGCCAACAAUCAUCCCCAACUAUUCACCAUGUAAUUAAUGAUGAUUAUCUUAUCUCUUGGGAGCGAAAUAGACACACGGUGACGAUGAAGCCUGUUUUGCUAAGAUCUGUGUCCUCUUUUCCCAGGAGAUAACAGCAGAAACCAAAGUGGUGAUCUCUCAAUAUUGUUCAGGAAGGAGAAUUAUGAAGCAGGCAAAAAAUUGUUUGGCCUAUUAGCUGAUAUCCCAAAUGAGUUUGUUUUUAUUUAAAAAAAAAUCUAAAUCAGGGUCUCCUUGGAGAAAGGAAGGCCAGGCCUGGUCAUGGUGGGUCCCUGACAUGGUUCAUGGCCAGAGUGACCUCUGCAAGGAUCUGCUGAAUGAAUAAUCAUGUCCUGGGAGUGAACCCAUGUGUGACAGCCAAUUCCAGGACUCACCAAAGAAGAGAGGCCUCAGGGGUCAUCUGAUCCAGUAUCGCUCUCUUCAGAAAGGAAGAAAUCCAGGCCCAGAAAAGGGGAGUGACUUAUGCAAGGUUGCACAGUAGACUGAUGACUGUCAUAGGUAGUGACUAUAAGGGCUGGCGACAUGGGUGGUAAAGGAAUUUACCGAGACAGUGGUAGGUGGAGAAAGGCGAUAUGAAAAGAUGUUGUAAGAGAGCAACGUGUAGAUGAGCAGGAGAGGAGCCGACUGCAAGGAGACAAAGGCUUGCUGGGGAUUUCCCAGGUCUGUGCUUGUGCUGGAGAAGGUCACUUGUAAUGUUGACAAUGCAGUGAGCUAACUUGCAUUUUUUAAUCAGCCAAGGGUCUGGUGGUAAGUUGGGUACGGGAAGACAGUGAGUUACUUGUGCAGGAGGGCUAUGUGUGCUGGACUGUGAAGAAAGGCAGAUCUGUAGCUGAUUUUCUUUUUCUUUUUACUUUUCUCUGGUUUUGCCACCCUAACUCUGCUUCCCUAAUCAGGACUGCACAAGGGUGGCCAGACCUUCAGGCCCCCAGUCACUCCUUAUGACCUUAACAUUGACAAGACGCCUCAGCUUUGCCUGCUCUAGACUACAGAGUAACAAGGAAAGAGUGUAGGUGAUGGCUCAAGCAAACCUGCCUGUUCCUAGGACGGUAAACUCCAUAAGGGCAGGCAACCUUGAAGUCUUCUUUACUGACUCCCUAGGGCCCAGCACAGAGCCUGGCAUACAGUAGAGGCUCAAUAAAUAUCUUCAGAAUGACUUACUGAAUGAAAGACCCAGUGUGCAGUGAAAGUGGAAGAGCAGAGUCAACAGAGCAGAGUAAACUCCCUAAUGGAGUCUCAAAGGGAGGGAGAUGAGGAAGACUCAGGCGAUGAGGCACCUUCUUCAGAGGCUACCAUCCUCUCCAAAGAUCUGUUCCCAAGGGAAGUUCUCUUGGAGAAUUAUCCUCAAGGAGAAAGUAUAUGUGCCUUGCAGGGAGCUGAGGGUAGAGCUGGGAAAAUUCUCCAGGCCCCAGCAGGGCACCCCACCCCCAGCCACUCAACCUGCACUUCCCCAGGCUAUAUCUGGCCUCACUGAGGCCUGAUCUUACUCGGACCAUGAACCCUGGCAAUGAACCACCAAGUGACAGCUCAAAGGCCUAUCUGUAAACUGCCCACCCUGGUGUUUUAGUAGAAGCCAGUUGGGCCCUGUUUUCCUGGGACCCUGAAAGCUCUCACCUGGGGACACAAAGUGAAGGGCAGCUCUCUACUGUGAUAGGAAAACUCUUCUGACCUAUUUCCCUUCCCAGCAUGGAUACUGGAAGAGCCGGCCAUUUCCCAGGGGACACAGAUCCUGGCUGCUGCAGACUGAGACCUGUGCUUAAAGCCAUCCUGAGCAACCUCAUCAUAGUAAAACAGCAGCUGCUGCCAGGUAUCGGGAGCCAGUUUUGUGCCAGGGUCUUUGUUCUGUGCUCCAUGCAUCUCACAUUGUCUCCUGCAGUGAACCGGGGCAGUGAGCCCCCUUGAGCUGAGCCGAUGUUGGAAUUGGGGCCCGGAGACAUACAGCACCUGAUCAAGGUCACAUAGCCAAAAAGGAGCAGCGUGGGUUGCUGAAUGUUGUCAGCCUCCAGAGCCCGUGCCUGGAACACUGCCUGACAUUGACUGCCAGGGAGAGGGGAUGUCACAGACCCGGCCCCAUGACCCAAGAUGAUCCAGCCAGCCCAGCCAGGCUUUUUGCCCUGAGUAGGGGCGAGUGUAAGUUUUAUUCCAGGUUGACACAGGGAGCAUCGCCUGGGAUCCUGCAGAUUCCCAGUGUGAACCUCAUCUUCUUAGCUGGGCGGAAGCUCCUUGGGAGCAGAGGCAACUCUGAUGCCUCCACAGCACCGUGCGUUGGUCCUGUGGCUGGGCCAGGCCAUGGUUUCAAUCCUCAUGGGUCUCUUGUUCAACUGGCUCAGGGUUGGGCUGCCUGGCAGAUUGGAAACUGGAGCCAAGAGACCCAGUUCUAGUCUCAGCUUUGCCACCUUCUAGCUCAGCAACCUUGGAGAGCCUCAGUCCUCACAUGGAGAUGAUAACUCCCUCGCAGACAUGCAGUGAGGCACUGCACCCUCCCACACUCGUGUGGCCUCUUCAAGGUUAACUGAGAACAUCCACAGCAUCUUCUCCAUCCAUUCCUCCCUUGCAGGGCUGUGGCAGUGGGAAGGCCAUGGAGAUCCUGCUUCUUCCCAACCCCAGCUCUUGGCCCCUUCCUUGGUUCCAGCUUUGGAUCUCUCAGUCAGCUAUUGCCACAAAAAUGAGAACCAAGCCACCCAAAAUCUCAGUAGCUUAUAUCAACAAGCACUUAUUUUCCCAUCGGUGGGCCUGAAGGUUGAUCCAGGUUCUCUUAGUCUCAGCUGGGCUCAGCCGGGCAGCUCUGCUGCAGGCUGCAGGUUGGGCUCACGCUGUGUAAGUUCAUUGUACCACCCAGCGGAAGGGCAGCAGCCCUAUAAAGGUACCUCUGGCUGUUAUCACCAGAGCACAAGGGAGCAGCGGGUCCAUGUGCACCAACACAUUUCAAUCCUCUGCCCCGUCAUGUCAGCUAAUAUUUCUCACUCAAAGCAAUGCACUUGGCCAAGCCCAACUUCAACAGUGCAGGGAGCGUGCCUUGACCAGAGUGGGAAGAGGUGGGGAGUAAAUAUUUGCUGAACCAUCAUCCAAUCUAGCAUGGCUGGAAAACCCCAAACUGAAUUUACAAGUAAGGACAGGCUCAUUUUGGCCACUGCUGGCUCAGGCACCCUUUUCCCCAGGAGGUUCAAAUGCUGAGUGAAGGGGUAGUCUGUGCUGGGAAAAGGGGCUACAGAGAGGUAAAAGGAUGGGGUAUUGUUUUACUGUGUGGCCCUGGGCAAGCCCCUUCCUCUCGGCACCCCCAUUCACCCAGCUGCACAUUCUCCAGGGCCCCUUCUAAUGGCCCUGACAGCCCCAGGCCCCUUCCUCCUUGCUUUCUCCUGCCUGGCUGGAGUCUGUGGACCACACAGAGCCCUGUGCAGCACCCAACUGGCUGGCACUUUUGCUCACAAACGCCUUUCCUGGAGAAGCAGAUCUAAUUUCCUCCCUGUGAAAAAACAGUUGUCUAGCACUCAGGCAGCCUCCACCGUGGGGCAGCCAGCUGCUUCCAUGGUGAGGACAAGGGUGGGUAAAAUCUGGAUCAGGACAAGCUUCAGGCACACGGACAGUAAUUGGUAUGAAAUAAUCAUUCUUUUCUCAGGUAAGGGCUGUGGUAAGGGCAGGUGGCAGUGCUGUGUGCUGUGCCAGGAUGGUUUGUGAGGCUGAGAGUAACUCCCCCUCCCCAGGCCUCAGUUUACCCAUCUGUGAAAUGAGGGGUGGGGGUUCUGCAGGGUGUUUUCUAGCUCUCAAGUUCAUGGCUGUCAAUGGAUCUACCUUUGUUCAAGUUUGCAGUAUCAAGAUACAAUUCAAAUUCCCAGCCUCUUCCUUUCUUCCCCUUCUUUAAUUUUUUUUUUAAAGAUGGAGUCUUGCUCUGUCACCCAGGCUGGAGUGUAGUGGCAUGUUCUCAGUUCACUGCAACCUCUGCCUCCCAGGUUCAAGCAAUUCUCCUGUCUCAGCCUCCUGAGUAGCUGGGAUUACAGGAGCCUGCCACCACGCCUGGCUAAUUUUUGUAUUUUUAGUAGAGACGGGGUUUCACCAUGUUGGCCAAGCUGGUCUCGAAUUCCUGACCUUGUGAUCCACCCUCCUUGGCCUCUCAAAGUGCUGGGAUUACAGGUGUGAGCCACUGUACCUGGCCAUUUCCUUCUUUAAUUAUAAACAUGCGCAACUGGAACCAUCACCCCUCUCUCCCCUGCUGCUGAGGUGUGUCCUCUCUGCAGCUAGCUGGCUGCUGGGGCUAGACAAGCCAAGCCACAGACAGGGGCAGUUGGGGAUCCCUGUUUUAUAAACAGCACCUCUUCCAGGGGCUGGCUCUGAGAUCUCAGCCAACCAGGUAGGUCCCUGGGGAUGGAAGAGGCUUUUCCAAAAGAGGGUCACCCAGUUCCCAGAUAAGGCUCUCCUGAUAACCCUUGAGGCAGCUCCACAUGCCCUCCUAUUCCUCCAGAGAGCACAAAGCCAGGACUGUAUUCACAGCAGCAGAACCCCCAGGAGGCAGGAGGUAGAACACAGAAGUGCUGGUGAGUUCACCUCCCGAGAGAGCUGAAUGCUGUCUUCGGAGACCGGCAAACCUCAUCUCACUGUCCUCCACUCACCUGUUGACAAAGAGGGAGAAGUCAGUGGGUAAUGAUUUCCAGGUGGGGAUAUGAGAAACGGAGGCUUCAACCCCAUCCAUCCUCAGUCCCUUUUUGGCCCCCCACCCACUGGUGGCUCUUACAUGUCAGACCCAUGUAAAUGGCCCAGCCUCUGUGUCCCAUUUUCACCAUGCUCUCUGGGCAAGCUCAUCCACCCCGGUGACUGUAGGUAGCUGUGGCAUAAGCUGGCACCUGCUGCAAAUUGCCCUCUCUCAGCUCCAGACUCAGGGACAGUCCCAUAGAAAAACACAGGGUGCUGUCACUAUCCCAGGCUUCAAAGUGAAAGAGAAGAGAGCCAUUGCCAGCACCUGCCAGAACUUACAGAGCUAGAUAGAGAGGGAUGUUCUGGAGCAGCUGUGUCUUCAGUAGAGUGACAUAGCCCCCCUGAGGUAGUGACAGAGUGGGGAACAAGUACCCCGGCUUCCUCCCUUCCCUCCGUCUGCUUUCCAGUCCCGUGGGUGCAACCCAACCAGAAGCUAAUGGCCAAGAACACGAGAGACUGGUUGCAGCCCAUACAGUCAGCCUCCCAGGAUUCAGAGCAGGGGGGAGAGGGGCAGAAUAUGGUUCUAGAGGGGGCAAAGCGAAGAUGCCCAGCUUGGGGCACUGAGGAAGGAAGAUGCCAUCCAGAUCUCUUAAGCUUACUGAGCCUUCUCUUGCUCCUAGCACCCCUUCUGGGCUCUCUUUGCCUGUAUACAUCAGGGGCUGGGAAAUUUCAGGGCUUUGGAUUCAGACAGUCCAGGAUCUGAAUCCUAUUUGGAUUCACUGGUUCUGUGACCUUGAGCAAGUUAUUUAACCACUUUUCACCUCAGUCUCCUCACCUGCAAAAUGGGAACAAGGGCACCUAAUGCAGAGAUGCAAAGUGCUUGACACACAGUAAGUGCUCAAUACGUUUAUUUAAUUUUUAUCCAGAUUUAUGUACCCUUUAUUUCUUGGCUGCUCUGCAGAACUUCUGAGCUGGUCUCUGCCCUGUUCUCAGCCCCUCAAAUUCAUCCUCCACGCUGCCCCGGAAUGCUCUUCCUGAAACCCCAGAUAGAUUAUGCCACAGCCUUCUUCAAGAACUAUGAAUGGCUCCCCUAUGCCUAGACAAUGCAGCUAAAUUCUUCAGUGUAACAACAAAAGUCAAUCAGGGUCUGGUCUUAACCCCACCUUACCAGACACUGGCAAUCCUUCCUUUGGUCUUUUUGCUCAAGUGACAUUGAUCUACUCCCUGUCCCCAAAGAGCCAUUAUGUCUCUGCAUUAGUCCAUUCUUCCACUGUUAUAAAAAAAUACCCAAGACUGGGUAACUUAUAAAGAAAAGGUUUCAUCAGCUCAUGUUCUGCAGGCUGUACAGGAAGCAUAGUGGUUUUUCCUUCUGGGGAGGCCUCAGGAAGCUUCCAGUCAUGGUGGACGACGAAGCAGGAGCAACACUUCACAGGGCCAGUGGAGCGAGAGAGAGUGGGGAGGUGCUACACACUUUUAAUAACCAGAUCUCAUGAGAACUCACUCACUAUCAUGAGAACGGCACCAAAGGAACAGUGCUAAACCAUUUAUAAGAAACUGCCCCAUGAUUCGAUCACCUCUUACCAGGCCCCACUGCCAACACUGGGGAUUACAAUUCAACGUGAGAUCCGUGCGGGGACACAGAUCCAAACUGUAUCAGUCUCCAGCCUUUGCUAUUGCUGUCCUCUCCACUUGCUGUACCUUCUUACAGCCCUCCAGGGGGGCUCAAGGGCCCAUCUUCCAAUAAAACUCCUUCACCUCACCGGUAUAAUUGGUCACAGCUGAAGUUAUGCUUCUGUGUAGCACCUACUCCAUGUUGCCUUGGAGGAGAAGCAGGCUGGUCCAGCAUGUCUUUCCUCACCGGUCUUUGAACGUAUGAAAGGCAGGACUUUGUGGCAUCCACAUCUGGCUCUCUGCAAUCCCCAGGCCAGGGCUGGACGGGGGUGAGGGCCUGUUGUGUACAAGGAUAUCCAUAUGUAUUCAUGCCAAGCCUAAGAGAAGACUUGCAAGGCGUAAGUGUAAUCCUUUUUCAUUUAUGCAGAAACUAAAGCAAAGGAAUUUGCUCUGAUAUGCUUAGCUAGGAAGCAGAGGAGCUGACUUAGCUAGGAAGCAGAGGAGCUGUCUGGGAUUUGAAAUCUGUGCUAUUUCCACUCCCUGUGGGGCUCAAGAAAUAUCUUAAAAAUGAAGCAAUAAGUAAAUGAAUGUAAAGAAGGUGGCAAUAGCAACAUACCAUGGUGGUUAAAAGCAAGAAAUACUUGGGUUCAAGUCCACUACUUACAAACUUGGGGAAGGGAAGUUGCUUUCUUCUCUGCCCUUCCCACGCUCCCCUAAUGCUCUGUGACUCUGGCAGUUCUAGGUUCCCCUCCAGAACCCAAAGAGGCAGUCAGGGCCUUCCCAGUGGGGAGGAAAUAACCACGUGGCUGAGAUUGAUGCAGUGUGGGGAGGCCCACAGCCUGUGGAAAACCCAGGCAGCCGCUGAAACAACCCUUGAAGCCAGCAUGAUGAACAUCUCAGGAUGUCAUUGCCAGCACCCAGCGCUGGAGAGGGGGCCUGUUGAGACUAUUUAUAUUCUGCCUGCCGACUGACGGCUUCAUCACUCUGCUUCUUUUCUUUGACUUUCACUUGACAAUCACAUUUGCACACUCCAAAGAGCCUGGAAAAGUGGGUCCUGGUAGCUCAGCUAGGCAACCCGGCUGUCCCAAGAAACUCUGGGGAUUUACAAAGAUCCCCAAAGGGACUGGUUGCUGCUGUUCCCUCCACCUCGACUCCCAGCCCUGGUGGUCAAAGGAGCCUCCUGGAGGGUCUGGGCAGCCCAGGGCGUCUGCAACUGGGGCUCUUUCUGCAGCAUCUGCAGCCUGGGCUUGGCCUGAGUGGCUAAUGUCCCGGCAGCACCUCACGUAUUGAGCAAGAAUCCCCUUCAUCCUCCCGUUGCAAGAGGCACUAUUAUUGGGGCAAUAAAUUAACUCCUUUGAUUCUCAUAAGGGACAAGUUUGGCAAGAAGAUCGCUGGCUCCAGUACCAGUGGGAGGAGUGGUCACUGAUCAAAGAUGGUUAGAAUGGCCUCUUUCCCUGAGGCCCACACUUGCCUGCUCACAGGGCCCAAGUCAUCGUGGGGAAUGUUCCCGUCAAUGAGGAGACACCGUGAUGGAAAUGAUUCUAAUACGUGGAACUCUUGCACUGAUAUCCUUUAAGCCUCAAAACACACUAAAGUCAGCAGUAAAGAAGUGGGAAAUCCAGACUGAAGGACGAAUGUGUUCACUCAUUCAUUUGUUCAUUUGAUGUAUUAAUCUACCAGAAUACUCUGCCCUGGAAUCUUCACAUGGCUGAAACGUCUCCGUAUGUCAGUCUUGGCCUGUUUGUCACAUACUCAGAGAGGCUGCCCUGACCACCCUUUCUAUCAUUGUCCCGCCCCUCCAUCCCACCCUGGUCCUAUGACGUCUUUGUUAUAUGUUUGGUUUUUUGCUUUCACAGCACUUCCUGGUAGUGAUGUUCUCUCUUGUAUGUAUUUGUCUGCUGCUUUGCUGUCUGAUGUGCCCACUGGAAGUAAACACCACAGGAAUAGGGAUCUAGUUCUGCCUGUCCACUGCUGUGUCCCCAAGUGCUUGGCAUCAUGCCUGGUCUACAGUGGACCCUCAUCUACCCAACAUUUACCAAGAACCUCCCCGUUGUCGGCCAGUGCUAGGGCUCCACAGUGGCCCGUCUGCUGGGCACUCAGCUCAUCAUCUGACUGGAGAGUUUUGCAAUGGGGCAAGGGCCGUGUAUGAACCACGUGUUUCUGAUGCUUUGACAUAGGCUUUGUUGACCCUGUAGACAGUGCCCAUCCAAGGGCUCGCCAGUUCCCAGAGAUCCUAAACGACUUGCCUGUGCAUAUGCAAACCAACAAACCCAGGGCCCACACCCAACCAUCUCCCUUAUCAGACUCUCAAUGGGCUCUGGCACUCUAGGCCACUAUCCACCCACCUUCGUCACCCCAGGGCCAGGUACUAGACGACCUGGGACAGCCUCCAUGCAUCAGAUUCAGCAGAAAUUAUUCAAACACCCCCAAUCCUAAGCCUGCCUGUGCUGCCUUGCCCAUUCCUUCUUCAAGAAACCACAGUAAAGACUCUUGCCCACAUUCUUCCACUCCCUCUGCCUCCCAAUCAACCCUGGCAUUUCCCCAUGUGGCCCUGAGUGGUGUGGUGUGUCCCACUUCUGUUAGGAACUGUGAGUAACUAACCAUCUUUUCCAUCAAUGGCGGUUAUCUCCUGAUCUGUUGGCCUCAUCACACCUGACUGAUAUAAAGCCAGCAUUUAAAAACAGGCCAUGAGGGUGAAGCAGGCCCAAGGUUGUGAUGACUUGGGGGAGGGGCAGGUAGCAGGUAACUCACACGUGGGGUGUUGCAACCACACCUUGGUUGUUGCCGGGGCUGCUAUUGGAGUUGCGUCAGCAUCACGGGGGAAGUAGUGGGCCUUCUAAGCAAAGGAUACAGCUCAGGCAAAGUCUGGGCAGUCAAGGAGAUGGAGAUUUCUGGUAACUCAAAUGGUCCCUAUGACUGGAGCAGAGCUGAGAGGAGCCACAGCGUGGGAGACUGGAGGAGGGUGGGGACCAAAUCCUGGAGGACUUUGGCUGAGACUGGGUUUUGCUUUGGAGAAGGCAACAGGCCUAGAGAGCUGUGGAUGGAGCCCCUUGAAUGCACGGUCCCUGGAUGUUUUUCCCCUGAGCCAGAGUCCACUUGGCUGCUGUCCUCUGUGUGGGAUAAGGUGAGUCACCAAUCCCCAACUCCCACUUCAUCAGCUCUGAUCCCAGCCCACACCAGCCUCAGCACUCAACCCCCUUGCUGAGUCAUUCAAGCGCUGCUGUUUCUCCCGGACUCUAGACUGAGGCACACUUGCCCCUAUUUCCCAUCUUGCACUGUCCUUGUUCCCCAGCAUCCAAGAGUAGGGGACAUUGGGGCUGAUGGAAUUAUUGGUAGCUACCAGAAUCAUUGCUGCAUGCAGUGCCCAGGAGCCCAAAUCCCUUGGGAUUCUGAGUUCAGCCGUAGCACAAACCAGAGUGUUUUUGAUAGGGCAAGCAGGAACUAUAGAGUACAGAGGUGCAAGGGCUCACUACUAACUCAGGAGCUCAGGAAAGGCUGUGUGGUCAGGCAGCCUUAUGGUUGGGCAGGACCAAUGGGCAGUGAUGGAGAGAGGGCAUCCCAGCAGAGACACAGCAUGAGCAGAAGUGCAGAUGCUGGGAGGGUAAGACCUGGUGUCUGCAGGGUGGAGUGGGAAACAUGCUUAUAGUAGAGGCAAGCGUCAUUCUGGGGGUGACCUUGACUGCAAGAUAAACCCGGAAGCUUCAGCCCAGUCUUCACUGAAGUAGUUUAAGCAGAGAAGUAACUCAAAGUCAGGGCAGGAGGAUAAAUUGGCUAUGAUGGGCAAAAUCAUGUCAGAGCUGGCAGAACAUGUGGUUAAAGGUAUGCCCCCUGGAUGUACACUGCUUGGAUUUGGUUCCAACUCUACCUCUAGAGCAGGCCUGCCCCCUUGGCCCUAACUUUUUUGAUUGAGCAGCCUGACUACCAAUUCCCAGAACCAGCAUUUCUUUGCUUGAGGACUUUCUCAGGCUGCAAAAGCCCCUUCUGCAUGCACUGGGAAUGCCAGGGACUCAAGGUCCCUUAGAACAACUCUCAAGCAUGCACUAACAGGAGUUGGUAUAUCAAUACCCCAGCUCCCUGAGCAUUUCUGAGUAUCAAUACCUCAGCUCUUGAGUAUUUUUGAGCUCCCUGCUUCUGAGUUCCUCAAACGGAUUAUGCUCCAGUUCUUACCAUCUUAAAUGGCAGGAGCAGCACCAUGGACACACUUUAGAACAACCGUAUCUUGUGAGAACUCUAUCACAAAAAUAGCACCAAGGUAUGGCAUUCAACCAUUCAUGAAGGAGCCACGCCCAUGAUCCAAUCUCCUCCCACCAGGCCCCACCUCCGACACUGGGGAUUACAACUGAACAUGAGAUUUGAGUAGGGACACAGAUACAAACUAUACCACUCCCCUCCCUGUGUUUCCUGGAAUCAUGCCCCAAAUACACUUUUUACCCUUGAAUCCUUCUCUUGAGGUUGGUUUCUGGGGAAACUGGAAUAAGACAACCAAUCACUUUAGUUAGAUGGCCUUGGUUGAAUUAUUUCACCUCCCUAUGCCUCAGUUUCCUCGCUUAGAAAAUGAGGAUGAAGAUAGUAAUUCCUCUCUCAAGGGUGCAUAUGAUAAGAAAUUGAGUUCAGAAACACAAAGAACUUAGUGUCUUGCCUGUAGUAAGUUCUCAGCAAAUGUCUGCCAAGAUGGUUUCAGAACAGAUGAGGCAGACGAACGGAAGAGGCUGUGAAGAGAGAAAGACAGAUGUGAGAGAGCUGGUGCUGAGCAGAGAAGGAAUUGAGGACACAAUCAAGUCUGCAGGCUGCAGAGCUGUAGAGAGGAAUGCCAUUUACAGCAGCCAGCAGCCAGGAGCAGAAGCUGGGUUUGGGGAAAGAAGCUCAAUUUUAGAGUCAGAGCAUUUUCAGGUGCCAGACAGCCAUGUGCAGACCCCUAGCAGGCAUCUGAGACAGUAGGGCUGAGCAGGGGAGAGGCAAAUGUGGCAGCCAUGAGGAUUUGGGAAUUACCUGGAAGGAAAUAAGAGUUGCUGGUAUGGGAUUUGGAUAGGGGAAGGGCAUUGAGGAGAGGAGAUUGAGAAGACAUGAAGGUAGCAGGGAGGGGAAGGGCAGAUAGGUGAGGCAGGGUCUUCUGGGGUAGCAGGAAUCAAGGGUGGGGAAGGGGGAGCUCCUCUUCCCAAGACUCUGAAGCAAUAGGCAUUUGUAAGACUAGAAUCAUGGCGGUCUGUGUCUUGGGUCUGGGUCUCUGGAUGCAGAGCCUGAGGCAGGGAUUCAGUGCAUGUGAUUGACUGAGAAAGGAGAAAAGGAGUAAGAGAGGAGGGCUUGGUGGGGGAUGGGGGGCAGAUCUCAUCUGGAGACUCACUUCAGCUUACUCCCACGGGGAACUUGGAAACACGAAUUGAACCACAGGGUUGUCCCACCUUGAGGCAAGGAGAGGAGCCUCUUACAUACAUAUGCCCAUAGGACAUUGGCUCCUGGAGGAUGAUGCUCCAGAUUAGGGGGCAUCUGUGAGCCAUUAGCAGCUAAUACUUACUGUAACUGAGAAAUGGGCACUGGCUCAGAAACGGGAUUUGAGUAGGGUACCAACAACAUCCACAGUAGGCUGGUGUGAGUCUAGCUCAAUCAGGCCCACUGUGGCCUGAUUGGAUAACAUUUUAUAGCUAACAUGUACUUAUCCUUCUCACCAAUGCAUUCAUGUGAUUUACCUUGGCACAAGGGAAAAGGAGAUCUGGAGAGUGAGUUUCCAGUCUAUCUCCAGAGCAUCUCCCUUCACCUCUAACAAAGGAGCAUAGAUGACAUUUGAUCUUCACCCAGAUAGUUUGGCUAAGUCAGAGGCAUGGUGCACCCAGGGAGACUAUAACUGGUGUCCAUAAUCUCUGGCUGCUUGUACCAGGCACUGUGUGGAAGGCCUUGCUUGCACUGUCUAGUGAUCUGGGACAAAGAUGCUUUGUUAUCCCCUUUUACAAAAAGCUGUGGUUUCCUUGCCCAAGAUUAAGCACCAAGAAUUAGAAUAGAAUUGAACCUAAGUCUGUGUGACUUCAGAGCUCUAGAUCUUCAUUGCUUCCCUGUUUUGCACCUCAGCAUGUUGGGGGUGUGGACACUGUAAAUUGCCUUUGGCUUGCUAGGACACAAAGGGACCAGCUAUGCCUGGCCCCCAGAAACCAUCUUUCAAUCCCACCCAUCUCACCUCACCCCAGUCCUGAUAGUUAAAAAAGAAGGAAGCAAGAAAAGGAAGGGGGGGGAGGGAUGUGACCAAGAACCCUUCAAGCUGAUUAUCCAUGUGCCUAAUCCAUGUUGAUUUGACAUGUCCCCAUGGUACUGCACCAUGAGAAAGGGGUGUUUGGGUUUCAGCCUGGGUCCUGGCAGCCGACCCUGGUCUGUGCGCAGGCCUCACUCAAGAGCUUCAGGAUACCAGGCAGGCACCGCCCUCACCUGACCCAGCUUCCCGUAACCCCACUGAUCCCAGGUUUUGAUGAGGGACACUGGAAAUAGACCAGUUUUGGCUAUAAGACUUUGGUCUGAAGAGGGGCCAUCCCCAAGCUCAGGGAACACUUCCAGCUCUCUUGGAAGAGUCAGCAGGCUGACCUGCUAGCAAGGCUUGGAAGCUAUCCUGGUUUGAGCUGUACCGGACACCGGUCCACAAUCAGUGGGGAGGUUGCUCUGAGCCACAAAAGAGCCCUGCCCCGGACACCUGGAGCUCUGGAUUCUGGGCCCUGCUCUGCCGCAAAAUCACUCUGUGCUUGGCACCAGCCACUUAACCCUUGGGGUCUUAGUGCCCUCAGCUUCAUUCCUGCAUAUCUUAGGUCCCUGUUCAAUGUCCCUUUCUCAGAGAGGCCUUCCCUGAAUACCCAUCUAAAAAUAGCAUCCCUAGCUCUUUCCCGGUGCCCCUGUAUAAUCUUUCCCCUUGGCUCCUAUCACCACCUGCUAUAUUUUCUGGGUAUAUGUUUACUUUCUUUUUGUCUCUCUCCCUCCAUAGAAUGUAAACGCCACGCGGGGAGCAGCUUCAUCACCUACUGUUCCCUGCUCUGGGCCUUACAGUGCAUUCUCCAUCAAUAUCCAGUGGUUUGUAUUUCCCUUGGGCCCACUGCUCCCUGAUUCCUCUGAGCCUUAGUUUCUGUGGUUCUCUUACUACAGAUACUACAGAAUAUCCUUUGAAAGCUUCACCUGACGUAUAGGGUGUCUCAGGGAGAGAUGUUGCUCUCAGUGCUCAGGUAGCACUCCAGGCCACUUCAAUAACAGCGCCCUCCGGGCAGCAUGGUAACUGGAAGUUUACCUGUGAUGCCCAUAUUCUUGUUUGUCUUCUUAUCUCUAAGCUGAUGCCUGGGCUGGCACCAGAGGAUGAGCAGUCACAUGAAACAACUCAAGGCCUCAGCCUGAGCCCACUUGGUGGUAACAGGUGGUUUGGGGGGCUCCAGACCCCUUGAUUCCAGCUGAUGGGGUACAGCUGGACCAGAGGAUGAGCGAGUUUUUCCUGAUGUUUCUUGCAUCUCACACAAAGAUGCUUCUCUUGGUGGUAACCCCAUGCAGGUCAAUCCCCAGGUGAGGCUCUCCCUGGGAAGAGUCUGGGGUCUCAUUAACAGCUUGGGUGAGUGGUGGGCAUGGAGGAAGGGCAGUUCAGGUAUGGACUGGAUCACUGGAUCCAGGUCAGGAGAAUUAGUUCAAAGAUGACAAUAAAUGAAUAGUCAAAGUCUGUGAAGCUGGCAGGGUGCAGUGGCUCAUGCCGGUAAUCCCAGCACUUUGGGAAGCUGAGGCAGGUGGAUCACUUGAGGUCAGAAGUUCAAGACCAGCGUAGCCAACAAGUUGAAACCUGACUCUACUAAAAAUAAAAAAAAAUAAAAAUAAAAAAAAUUAGGCUGGGCAUGGUGGUACAUGCCUGUAGUCCCAGCUACUUGGGAGGCUGAGGCAAGAGAAUUACUUGAACCCAGGAGGUGGAAGCUGCAGUGAGCCAAUAUCACGCCAUUGCAUUCCAGCCUGGGAGACAGAGCAAAGCGAGACAUUGUCUUAAAAAAAAAGAAAAAAGAAAAAACAACAUGUUUGUGAAGCUCUUGGUCAGCAGAGACACCAGUGACCAGUGGCCUGCGAGCCAGGGAGCGGACUUCCAGUUUCUGCCUCACCACUAAUCAGCCGUGUGACCUUGAGAAAGCCUCUUCAUCUGUCUGAGACUCAGAGAGUUUGAUUUUCAGCUUCAGAGAAAUGGUUUGUAAAAUAGACUUUUGUCCCCUCUGCCAAAAAAAAAAAAAAAAAAAUGUCUGGAGUGCUGGGUUAGGAAAGAUUCUGAAGUGGACAUUGAGCCUAAUGGGACAGUACCAUGAUUGAUUAGUAAUGUCUGCCAUGGAUAUCAUAAAGAAGACGGGUGUGACUCCUUGUCCGGUGUCUUUCAUGCAUCUCAUGACUCAGUGACUCUGUAGAGCUAAAGCUCGUGUGUGUGUAUGCCAAGGAAGGAGGGGUCAAAGAGAUACGAAAAGUAGGUUAAGAAACUUGAGUCAGACCCAUGGAGAGCUCCAAAAUAGAUGGAGAAUGGAAGUUGCUUCAUUGUACACAAAAAGCACACUGUGGGAUAGCAGUUUGCUUUUGCAAACUGAGUUGCUAACCAUUAGUGGGUUGUGAAAUAAAUUUAGUUGCCUAUACCAAUAUUUUAAGAACACACAGAGUAGAAAAGAAUAAAAUAGAAUGAAAUGGAAUAUUUUAUAUUGUCAAUGCAUAUGGUAAGGUUAAAUGCUGUUUUGUGAGCUUUUGUUUAGGUUAUGCGUGGGCAUGUGAAGAGAGUCAGGAUGGAUUUUUCACUGUGGCUCUGGGUCCAAAUGGUCUGGAGUUGGGUGAUCAAAAGUGUUCUGUUUAGGACAGACCUGGCUCACCUCAUCAUCCUGGUGUAAUUAUCCACCAGCUCCUUUCACUCCCUGUGGUGAUUUUAAAAUAUGAACACACAUUUUUUAGACACUCUUUCUUUCAAAAGGUGAGACCUAAAUUUCCUUCUCUCAAAUGUGGGCUGGGACUUGGUGACUUGCUUCUAAUGAAUAGAAUAUGGCGAAAGUGACAGUGUGUCUCUCUCGGGACUAUGUCAUAAAAGACUCUUCAGCCUCCUCCUCACUGUCUUUCUUGGAUCACUCACGCUGCCGAGCCACAGCCACAUUGUGAGGAAAUUCAGGCAGUCCUGCAGAGAGGCCCACGUGGCAAGAAAAUGAGGCCUCCUGCCAACAGCCAUGUCAGCCAUCUUGGAAAUGGAUCCACCAGCCCCAGACAAGCUUUCAGAUGCUUGCAGCCUGGGUCAGCACCUUGCCUGCAACUUCAUAAGGGACUCCAAUCCAGAACUCCCAGCCAAGACACGCCCAAACUCCUCACCCACAGAAAUUAUGAGAUAGUAAAUGUUGUUUUUAGCUGCUAAAUUUUAGGGGAAUUUGUUACGAAGCAAUUGAUAACUAACACACUCUCAAAGUUACCUCUUUUGGUUGAAAAAUUAUAUGGUUACCCCAUAUAAAAGGGACUUCCAGGAUUCUGUGGGAUUUCUAAGAGUCACAGAGAAAGAGAAAAUUAAAAGGAGAUGAAAGGGGGCAAAGCAGCCUUUGCCAAAAAAAAGGUGGAAGAGUGGAUUCUGAUUAUGUUAGAAACAGCCUAGACUGGGUGACUGGGAAGAAAAUCCAGGAGCAUCUGGGAAAGAACAUGGCAUGGUCCAACGGCAAGCCUAGGCUCACUAAAGUCAUGUUUCCCCUUUUCCCACAGGAGGACUGGAUUAGCAGAUCAGUAGAUAGAGCCCAGGUUCAUGGUGGUUUGAACAGCUUCUACUCAAGAAGUUUGGGUGGCAGGGAAUGAAUUGGGAGAGGGAUUUUCAGUGCAAAACAUUGUCCUGGCUCCAGCCUGUCCAGUAAUUUCGACAGACACUUGGAUGAAAACACAAAAGAUGUGUCCAUCCAAACCUCGAAAGCACAAGUUACUUUGCUGUAGCUGAUUUAUGAUCCAAACUGUCUUCCCAGGCAGAAUUGCUGGGCCAAAAUCAACACGAAGAUAUUUAACAGUAAUCAAUGUAAAGUCAGGCACUUCCAGAUCAAAAAAAAAAAAAAAAAAAAAAAAAAAUCAAUGAUUCUAGGAAUAAGCCCAGGGUGGGUGGAUGGAGCUGGCUUGGCAGAAUUCCACCUGAAACAAUCUGGUCAUUUUUAUUUGGCCCCCAAGGUCAAUGUAAGCACAAACAACGUGCUGUGGCUACUAAAACAGUGGACCCAGACAUAGUUCCCUAACUUCACGCAGGUGGUGGUGACGGGAAGGACUGUUUUCCUAUCUGCUCUUGGCCUUGGUCAGCCACAUCUGGACCCCACAGAGUGUCGGGGGGUGGGGGUGGAACCCAGAAUUGGGAGCAGGGCUCAGCAUCCUCACAUGGGGAAUGAUGAAUGGCAUUUCAAGAGGGGCUCGGCUGCCUUGGAUCAGCCUGGGCAGGAGGGAGGGGCCCAGAUGGGUGACUGGAAGUGAUAGGGCAGCCCAUUGGGAGUUUCUAAGGGGAAGGUGUCCUGACAGGUGGGCUUGGCUGUGGGUGCUUGAGCCCCCCCAUCACUGGUGUGAGUGAGAAGAGGACAGUUGGAGCAAAUAAAGGCUACUUUGUCCCCUUCCUCCUUGUAAUUUUCCCAUUCUCCAUUACUACAAUGCCAGGGUCCCGUUCCUCUGUCCAGACAUGGCCUCUGGCUUCCAUGGGGGCUUUCCCCAGGGUAAGAGGGUGGUCCUUGAUUGAGCAAGGAGAAGAAAUGGGUGAGGGGAACAGUAGAGAGAGAGACAGAGAGAGAGAUAGGGGCAGAAUCUGCCUGGGCUACCUGCUGUGGGCACACACGUACACAUACACACACACACACAAUCCUGCUCACAUAUGUUCCAACAUCAGCCCUCACACAAACUCUCACACACCCACAUUCAUACACAAUCUCAUGUAUUCCCACCCCGUGUCCACCUGCCUACACACCCACACACCCUCACCUGUGCUUACACACUUGCCUUAUACACCCUUCAAGAUGCACACACGAACACAUGCACAUACAUGGAGAUCUCCCUUCAACAUGCACACACAUGAACACAUGCACACACGAGUGCCCACACAGAGGAAGGCCCAAUCUUAGCUCAGAUUCUUGGGAAACAGCCUCUGAGAUGGUAACUUGCAUGUGGGAGGCUUACUGGGCAGAGCUCUUGGAAGCAGCAUAGCAAGGGAGUGAGGGAGGCAGGCUUAGGUGGCAGGGAGAAGUGGAGCUGCGAUGCAGUCACAGGGGAGGCCUCAGCCCAUCCCCCAGGGAGCUCUGACACUGCCACAGCCCUUCAAAGAGGUCCAGAAUUGAUGUAAAUGGGCUGGGCCUUUGUAUAUCUGUGUAAACUGGUCACUGGACACAGGGAAGGUAAGUAUGUUUGGGCAAGAUGGCUCUUUCUAGUUGAGGGCAUUGGUCAGAACAGGCCUCAGCUGUACGCCGUUCAAUGCUCCUGGUAGCUGGAGGCUGAGUGUCUUGGUCCUGGAAUGGGCAGCACCGCUGCAUUCACUCUGUGCUCACAGGACAUGCACCUGAACACAAGCCUAGCUGGAUUUCUCCUCUCCAGCUCCAUGCACGCCUGUUCCUGCGAGAAGCCCACCCACUAGGUGAGGAGAUAGAGGGUCCUUUAAGGAAAGGCUGUCUCCCUGACCAAUGAUGGGAGGAAGUAGUUUGCUGGCCAGGAUGGGCGGCCCAGUGCAGGAAUCAAAGAAGAGGUCAGUGGUGACCCAGAAAGAAUAUGUGGGACCUUCAUCAACCAUCUCAAUGGGACCUGGCCUUUUGGGUCCCAUCAUACUCUGCACCCAGAGUGGCCAGCAUGGCAAAUGCCCUCUCCCAAGAAGUGUUCCCAGCUCAACUACUUUUCCUCCACCCUCCCUCUGGAAUGCCCUCAGUGGAUGGCACCAUCCCCUGCACCAGGUGGACACUGGGGCUGUUCCCAUUGCUUUCUGCUUGCCCUUAGAUCAUCAGCAGAUAGAAUCACAGAACCAGCUUGAUUCAGACUGUCCAGUUUGUGAUAUCAAUCUAUACUCCAGUCUUUGUUCACAGGUAACUGCUUCCCUUCCCUCUCCCUUCUUGGGGUCAGGGCUGGCAGGGAAGACACAGAGUUGCUAUUUUCUCUCACUCUGCUCACCAAUCCUCACUCAGGCGCUGUGGUUUUUUAUGCACCAAGGCAAGGUUAAACCAGGGUCCCCAUGGGGUGCAGAUGUAGGCUCCUUGGGGACUCAGGCAUGGGCAUCUUCCACCUGCAGUCGCCUUGGCCUGGGAGGUCAAUGUUCCAUUUCAAGCCAUGGCUGUGCCUCAUGACCAGGUCCCAAGGAGCAGGGAGCCUGCCUCCAGUGUCUUGCUGCUGAACCCCUCCGUCCCUGGGCAGUCCUGGUGGCAAACCUCCCUCACGUGGUGUUUGCAUACACAUGGCACAAUCAGGACUCCAAGAGACACACACAUAUAACCCUUUGCAUCCUCAGUCUUCUGCCCCAGGCCACGGCAGCUUUCUCAGCUGGGCAGGCCCUGGGCCUCUGAGUUUCCAACUGUGGGGACCACCUCUCUUAUGGAAGCCCCUCAUUCUUCUUAAGGAGUGAGUAUCACAGCAUAGCACCAGCUCCCCAGAGAGAUCUCCAUGCACCUCCCUUCCUCUGUUCCCUCUUUCAUAUCCUUGAUCUGGCAAAGGAGUCCAAGAAUCAUGGAACCAGUUCUCAAAAUUUUCCUUUGUAAAAAUCUGCUCCAGGAGACUCGCCUCACCUCGUGGUGUCUGAUAUCUGAAAUCUUGCUGUCUCCUAGGCCGAUGCUCAGUCCCAGUUUCUAUUUUAAGAUUUCUCUUGCCCCAUGUGACACAGUGGUUUAGAGCACACCCCCUAAGCUAGGUCCCCUCAGUUUGAAUGCAAGCUCUGCCCCUUGAUGCGGGUGGGACCCUGGGCAGGUUGUGUGACCUGUCUGUGCACCACUUGCCUCAUCUGUAAAAUGGGGUAAUAAGCACAGAUAAUGCAUAUAGAUUCACCUGGCACAAAGCCAGUCUCCAGGAACCUCAUACUUCUAGCUCCUUCUUGAUCAUGCUUAUGGCAGCUCAGCGCUCACCCACUCUCCAGCUCUUUUUCCUUCCCCUCCCCACCCCCAGGCUCUUCUCCACUUCUGGAAUAAAUCUAUUUGGCUGAUCUUGGCAACCAUGGCCUUAAUUGUGUGUGUUUGAUAAAUAGCUCUAUUGGAUUAAGACAGCAGCUGCUGCGGACCCGAUCAGGAUGGUAACAGCAAUGAAAAUACUGGGAGUACAGAGCUGGGGCAGGGCUAAGGAUGCACAGGCCCUGCCCUGCCCGCCUCACCUACACGACGCUGGGAACCCUGGCCCACUCCUGUCCCUCUGCAGCCACUCUUAGGACUGGUGGUGGGAAUGGAAAUCCGAGAGCUUUAAAGGAUCCUUGGAGAUCUGCCUCCCAUAUUCAGAUAUUCACAAGUGAGGAUGCUGAGGUCUAGAGGUUGAGGGGCUUGUCUGGGGCACCCAGCUGGUAAAAGGCAGACUUGAAAGUCUAACCUGGGCCUUGUGACCUCCAGAUCAACGCUCUGCCCACUGGGCCACGCUGCCUCACCCCAUAACGCCCCAGCCAAUACACUUCCUCUUUCCUGCUAAUUUAAUUUUCUGACAAUAUUUUCUUGCCCUCUGCCACCCUUCUCCCUUCCAAAAUAUUAAGAACAGAAAGCAUUUCCUGUAGCACCAGACUGCGGGAGUUCGAGCCCCAGAACUUUCAUUUGUUUGCUGUGUGUCUUGAAGGGAUUUACUUCACUGCUUUGAGCCUCAGUUUCCUCAUUUGUAAAAUGGGGCUUAUGCAAAGUGUAGCGGCUUCAUGGGAUUGAUGUCAGGUGUUUACUACAAUGCCAGCACAGAGUAAACUAAAUGUUGGCCAUUACUAUUACUAGUUGGGGUCUUCAGGAUUGCCUUGUACGGUGGGGUGGUUUGUGUACUGCUCAAAAGUACCCGGCAGGUAAGUAAGUGGGGCUGAAAUCCAGCCUGUGAUCACUCCUGAGGCUGUGGACCCUUGGAGCUGCAUCUGCCCUAAGGAGGUACAGUUUUCUAAUCCAUUUACCCAGAGAGGCCAUCUUUUCUUAAUUUGCACAAAGGUGCUGUAGAGCGCAGCCCCGUGUGCCCUGACUGUUAAUUUGAGGGGGACUGGGCAGGAUUCCGAACUCCAUCUCUCAUCUGGGGAUCACAGUGCCUGAGUUUUACCACUGAAGCUACCCCCUGGGUCCCAUGGUCAUCUGCAAUGUUCCCGAAAUCCCAAUUACAAAGCAGCAUCCUUAGGAACAAUAAUAACCCUAAACAAUAACCCUAAAAAUAAUCGCACUUUCUCAUCGCAUUCAUUAUCAUCAUCACGAUAAUUUUACACCUUGAGUAGAUUAGCCUUCAUCCAGCAGAGAGAAGGAUAUACAGGAUGACUCCAGGAAGGAGCCAGGAGGGGAGAAGGGCACUGCAGGACGA
This is a non-coding RNA of Callithrix jacchus (white-tufted-ear marmoset), 36091 nucleotides long. The record is from RefSeq and is a predicted model, not a curated record. NCBI's taxonomy places the organism in Eukaryota, Metazoa, Chordata, Mammalia, Primates, Cebidae.